This 2034-nucleotide long non-coding RNA is filed under the name Gallus gallus (chicken). RNAcentral describes it as "lncRNA (ENSGALG00010015689.1)". The record is from RNAcentral. Lineage: Eukaryota; Metazoa; Chordata; Aves; Galliformes; Phasianidae.
GAAAGCCUAGCCUGAACAAGACUUCACACAGAAGAUGGUUACAAAAAUGACUCCAAAGGUGGCAGUAUCCUUUAGGCUGCAGGGAGAGAGGUAAUGUCUAAACCUUUCUUACACCUGGCUCAAAUGUCAGUGAUCAGGGAAGCCUGGGGCAGUGUUUCUUAUUAGGUUUCUGUAAUAUGACGCACACCCAGAUAAGUAAGCCACUCAUUUUUGUGUCUUGAGAGAAAGGUAGGGGGAAGUGUGGACAUGUCUGGUGGGGUUUCUGUCCUGUCCUUUUUCUCAGGAUAUGGGCUAAGAAGAGAAGACUGGCUACAGGGAAGCAAUGAUACAAGCUCAACUGUAGUCAAAAGUACUUCAGUAGGCAGUAGCUAUCCUGUGUGUACUACCUUAGAAUAAGUCUCUGAGAAGAUCUAUUUAUUUAUAAAAUCCAGCCUUCUACACAUCUUGAAAAGGAAGAUCAGAGGAUUAUACACACUGCUGGAGGCAAGGUAGAAAGAGUAGGAAAGAAGAUCCAGAAUGCAGCAGUCUUCACAAACCCUAUGUGAAAAAUAUACUUUGGACUGAAUAAUUGGGCAGAAGCAACAUGAACUAAUUUUCACUGGAAUGGCUGGAAAUGUAGUUGUGGCACUUCUCAGAACUGCUCUCUUACUGAAAAAAAACUGUUUGGAAUAUGAAGCCUUCCUGUGCUGUGACAGUAAGGUAAUGACUCUUAUACUCUAGAGCUCUUUGGGGCAGAGAGGUUUAUUAGGAAGACAGCACGGCAUCUUGUCUGUGAAGUGUAUGGAUUCUAUAUGAAAACAGCAAUUUAUCUUUACCUUCUAUCAGAAAUGCAAUGAGGCCAACAAAAACAAUUUUAUCUGUAAGUCUACUACGGGUGACACUAAUUAAGAAUGUUAGAUGUGUGAAUUUUGUAAUUCAGGUUGAACUGAUGUGAAAUUCUGAGCAUCAGGGUAAAAUUCCUUAAGUCCUGUAAACAAAAUAUGGAGAAAGAACUAUGCAAGUGAGUGUUUAAGACUGUACUUGCAAAAUGUGUUUAAAAACAUUAGAUGUUCUUACCUAAGAAACAUGUUAGCGUCAUAAUUGUGUAUUUUGAGUAAAAUGGUAUAAUUGUUUCACUAUCAUUAAUUCUCUUUCCAAUUCUUGAUUUUAUGUCCUUAUUUAAUACAUUUUUACAGACUUUUUAUUUGUUUGUUGUUUUUAAGGUAGUUGACCAGUUGAGAGUAAGGAAUCACAGUUUUUUUGGUGGAAUUAAAAUUUGUUUGCUGGAUCUUUCAUAAGAAGGCCAAAGUUGCCCAUGUAAGGAGGGAAAUAAAACUUUUCUUUGUAGUUUCAAUGACAAUGUUCAUGUGCAUUGGUUUUGUUUCCUGGAAAAUCUUACAUUGGCCAGGUAUGGACCUGUUGAUGUUGAGUAAAGUAAUUCUUUUUCAUUAUCCUUUCAUUUUGAGGUGAGGAGAAAAAAAUACAUUUUUAUAGCAUUAAAUUACAGUUGAGCAUGAUUGUUUACAUCUAUAUUUGUUUUCUUUAUUUAUAAUAUGUUUUUCUCUUGGUAUAAUUUGCCUUAUGUGCUGAGAUGUUAGGAAGAUGCUUUUACAGUAGUUAUAAAUCUUAUUUUAAUCCUAGAGAAGGGAAUGAAUAAGUAAUACCACAUCUGUCUCAACUUUUUAUAUACCCCCUGGUAUACCCCCUGGUACUGAGGACUUCCAUAAAAGGUUAGGCCCUUAUAUACAUCAAAGGUGUACUGGUGUGUUGUACUUUUAACCUUAUCUGUCUCUAGUACAGGAAUAGGUGUUUAGUAGUGAAAAUCAUGAGCAAACAUUUUGAAUGUUGCUCUGCAAGUGUUAGAUCUUUCUACUCAUUUGUGGAGCUGCUGUUUUUGUAUGUUCAGGGCCUUGGGCAUAGAUGUGCACCAAUUGAUCAGUGCUCCUAGGAGAGUGUGAAGAGGUAAACCAAGAAUUAAACAAAUUAAGAAGGUAAUCUUAGUGAAAUUCAUCAAAAAGCAGUAAUUCAUUACUACUCUCGACAAUAUUUGGUGGC